AUUGAACGCUGGCGGCAGGCCUAACACAUGCAAGUCGAACGAGUGGCGGACGGGUGAGUAAUGUCUGGGAAACUGCCUGAUGGAGGGGGAUAACUACUGGAAACGGUAGCUAAUACCGCAUACCAUCAGAUGUGCCCAGAUGGGAUUAGCUUGUUGGUGGGGUAACGGCUCACCAAGGCGACGAUCCCUAGCUGGUCUGAGAGGAUGACCAGCCACACUGGAACUGAGAAACGGUCCAGAAUCCUACGGUAGGCAGCCGUGGGGAAUAUUGCAAAAGGGGCGAAAGCCUAAUGCAGCCAUGCGGCUUGGAUGAGGAAGGCCUUCGGGUUGUAAGGUACUUUCAGCGGGGAGGCGUGACCCGCAGAAGAAGCACCGGCUAACUCCGUGCCAGCAGCCGCGGUAAUAC
RNAcentral lists this ribosomal RNA (406 nucleotides) under uncultured bacterium. RNAcentral describes it as "partial 16S ribosomal RNA". It matches the Rfam family "Bacterial small subunit ribosomal RNA", at positions 30 to 526 of the family's 1533-position model. The record is from RNAcentral.